UCCGGUUUGUCACCGGCAGUCUCCUUAGAGUGCCCAACUAAAUGCUGGCAACUAAGGACAAGGGUUGCGCUCGUCGCGGGACUUAACCCAACAUCUCACGACACGAGCUGACGACAGCCAUGCACCACCUGUGCACCGGCCCCGAAGGGCUGCCGUAUUUCUACGACAUUCCAGUGCAUGUCAAGCCUUGGUAAGGUUCUUCGCGUUGCGUCGAAUUAAACCACAUGCUCCGCUGCUUGUGCGGGCCCCCGUCAAUUCCUUUGAGUUUCACCCUUGCGAGCGUACUCCCCAGGCGGCAUACUUAAUGCGUUAGCUCCGAUACAGAAAGGGUUGAGCCUCCCUACAUCUAGUAUGCAUCGUUUAAGGCUAGGACUAC
This 376-nucleotide unclassified non-coding RNA is filed under the name uncultured bacterium. RNAcentral describes it as "contains 16S-23S intergenic spacer region". The record is from RNAcentral.